Molecule: ribosomal RNA, 433 nt
Filed under: uncultured bacterium
Lineage: Bacteria
Description: partial 16S ribosomal RNA
Rfam family: Bacterial small subunit ribosomal RNA
Source: RNAcentral
AACGAACGCUGGCGGCAUGCCUAACACAUGCAAGUCGAACGAGACCUUCGGGUCUAGUGGCGCACGGGUGCGUAACGCGUGGGAACCUGCCCUUAGGUUCGGAAUAACUCCCCGAAAGGGGUGCUAAUACCGGUUAAGGUCAUCGGACCAAAGAUUUAUCGCCUUUGGAUGGGCCCGCGUUGGAUUAGCUAGUUGGUAGGGUAAAAGCCUACCAAGGCGACGAUCCAUAGCUGGUCUGAGAGGAUGAUCAGCCACACUGGGACUGAGACACGGCCCAGACUCCUACGGGAGGCAGCAGUGGGGAAUAUUAGACAAUGGGCGCAAGCCUGAUCCAGCAAUGCCGCGUGAGUGAUGAAGGGCUUAGGGUUGUAAAGCUCUUUUACCCGGGAUGAUAAUGACAGUACCGGGAGAAUAAGCUCCGGCUAACUCCGUG